GACGAACGCUGGCGGCGUGCCUAAUACAUGCAAGUCGAGCGAAUUGAUGGGAGCUUGCUCCCUGAUAUUAGCGGCGGACGGGUGAGUAACACGUGGGUAACCUGCCUGUAAGAUUGGGAUAACUCCGGGAAACCGGAGCUAAUACCGGAUAACAUUUCGAACCGCAUGGUUUGAAAUUGAAAGAUGGUUUCGGCUAUCACUUACAGAUGGACCCGCGGCGCAUUAGCUAGUUGGUGAGGUAACGGCUCACCAAGGCAACGAUGCGUAGCCGACCUGAGAGGGUGAUCGGCCACACUGGGACUGAGACACGGCCCAGACUCCUACGGGAGGCAGCAGUAGGGAAUCUUCCGCAAUGGACGAAAGUCUGACGGAGCAACGCCGCGUGAACGAUGAAGGCCUUCGGGUCGUAAAGUUCUGUUGUUAGGGAAGAACAAGUACCAGAGUAACUGCUGGUACCUUGACGGUACCUACUGAAUAAGGACCUGCUAAUCUCGUGCCAGCCGCCGCCGCGG
RNAcentral lists this ribosomal RNA (512 nucleotides) under uncultured bacterium. RNAcentral's name for it is "partial 16S ribosomal RNA". It matches the Rfam family "Bacterial small subunit ribosomal RNA", at positions 28 to 523 of the family's 1533-position model. The record is from RNAcentral.